CUUCUCUCAUUCUUUAGCUCUCUAUAAAAGUAAAAUUUAGUGUUUUACUUUCAACAAGUUAGGUUAUAAUUUUUUUUUAAUUCCUCUUUGAAAUAUAUAUAUAUAUAUAUAUAUAGAUCCAAAUCUCUUGUGGGUUUUUAACUUGAUGUUUUAUGAUAGGUUUUAGGACAAGAUUAGGGUUUUUGUACAUGUUGACUUGAUAUAUUUUGUGUUAUUAUUAGUUGUUAUGGGAGUGGAGCUCCUUGAAGUCCAACAGAAGAUCUAACAGGUUAGAUUGAGCUGCUGACCUAUGGAUUCCUCAGCCCUAUCUAUUUAUGAUUUAACAUAUAGAUAGCUUUGUGGGUUUGCAUAUGUCAGGAGCUUUAUUUUACCUUUUGUUUGAUCAUUUUUUGGAUUGAAGGGAGCUCUACAUUCGUAUCUCCUUGCUAGAUUUGUACAUUUUUUUCUUCUAUGUUAUUAAAUCUAGUCAUAUGGUACUUAUUUUUAUUAGAUCUAGUAUUAGAUUUAAUAUUCAAGGUAUGUAGAUCUUAUUUCCUAUUUCUAGCUACUGUUUAAAUGUAUAUAUUAUUUUGGUUAAAUUUUGAAAUGUUGUUUACUUUUUAAUAUUUUUUGAGGGUCUGUUUAGAUCUGAUUUUCCUAUUUCAGGCUUCUGAAGAAAUGUUGGAUUUGGAUUUGAAGUCUUUCAGCGCAGCUUUAUCGUUUGUCUAGAUUUGAGUUGUGGAAGAAAAUAUUUUAGAAACUGAAUUUUUACAGUUGUGUAAAUUGGGAAAUACUUGUUUGUUUUUACUUUGUGUACAUAUUAGUUUUUUUGAAUAAAAUAAAGUGAAAUCCUUAAUAUUUUAAUCUUUCAUUAGGUUUAGUCUAGGCUAUUGAUAGCUACUUUCUCGAUUCUUGAUCUUUGUGCAAAUUAAAGCUAUGUUGCAUUAAUUAAUAUUGGGACAGAUGUGUGGAAAAUGCAGUGUAGGUUCUUUAUUUUGAAUCUUAUCUUGGGAAGAUAUUUUUAUUUUGAAAUCUGACUAAGUAGAUCAUUGGUCCUAACUUCAACUUAAGCUUAAGAUAGUUUUUACGGUAUAAUACAAAGAAUAAAGUUGAUAAUUAUUUGUUAUUUUAUUUAUAUGUAUCAAGUUGUGUUAAUAUUAUUUUACUGCCAGCAGUUUUUAAUAAAUUCAAUGUGUGUUGUAAAUGUUUUUUUUUUUUUUUUACUUUUAACUAAUCAUUUUGACUAUUAGAAAUCGUUGCAGGUUCUUUUUAGAAUGAUUAGAGAUGGAAGUAAGUAUUAACAUUAAUUUUGUUUUGCAGUAAUCAUCCUCUUAAUAUGCUAUUGGCAAUGUAUCGGGAUUUCUCCAAUAUUUUUUAAAGUUAAAAACAAUUACUUGUUGAAAAU
RNAcentral lists this long non-coding RNA (1384 nucleotides) under Solanum tuberosum (potato). RNAcentral's name for it is "long non-coding RNA (STUB_LNC004211)". The stretch from base 224 to 421 matches the Rfam family "MIR159 microRNA precursor family". The record is from RNAcentral. Lineage: Eukaryota; Viridiplantae; Streptophyta; Magnoliopsida; Solanales; Solanaceae.